GCAAAAGCCUCUUUUCCCCGCAAAAACCGAUUGUAUUAAUUUACACCACCUCAGCAGUUCUGCGUGUUCUCUUCGCUCAGGUGUAACAACUGUUUCUGCAGCAAAUUCUGAAUGCAGUGUCGGUUCUGUGGAGUUGCGCGGAUAGAGGAUUGGCUUUUUUUUUGUUCCUCUAAGCCUCCCUCCAGUGCGGAUCACAACGCAGGAAGCGAUAGCGUCCCCCCGCGUAUCCGGCCCCGCGUGCAUCAACACUCCAUCCCCACAUCCGCUCCAGAGGGAAGCGCCGUGAAUCGCUAAUUUGAUCCAGGAAAAUUCGAAAGCGUCGCGUUUGUGGCGCGGUACCCGCGGCUUUGAUAUCCGCGGGGCUGUGAUGUUGUUCAGUCCCCCGUGAAAGCGCCCAGAUUUGUCAGAAGCAGACAGAUUACAUUUAUUUCCCUUUCCCCCCCCUCCACGUGUCUAUACGAAAGGAGCGACCGUGUCUUUGUUGUCCUGUAAGGCGGCGCCUCUGUGCUCUUGGAUUGCUUGUAAUCAGCUGGAGCUCGCUACGGAUUUCAAUAAGAAGCAAGUGAAACAGAAGCCAGGAGAGGUUUGCGAUGGAGCAGGGGUCCUUUGAUGUGUGAGCAGGUUAAUCCAGCCGUAGCCUCCCUCAGCUACUCGCCUUGCCGACCUUCCCUUGACCUUUGACUCCCUGCGGAGCUGCGUUUGAUUGGCUUAUCCCUGCACUGGAGCUGUUUCAGGAGAUUUAUCUGCCAGAAGGAGUCAGCUGAAACUAUGCUGAUUAAAACAAGAUGCAACA
This is a long non-coding RNA of Anguilla rostrata (American eel), 793 nucleotides long. RefSeq lists it as uncharacterized. The record is from RefSeq and is a predicted model, not a curated record. The transcript is spliced from 3 exons. NCBI's taxonomy places the organism in Eukaryota, Metazoa, Chordata, Actinopteri, Anguilliformes, Anguillidae.